AGAAACCUGUUCAAGAAUGUUCAUAGCACCUCUAAUCAUAAUUGUCAAAAAUUGGAGUCAACCAAAUAUCCUUCAGCAGGUGAAUAGAUAAGCAAAUUGUGGCCAGUCCUCAGAGAGACCAGGAAAGCCAGUUUCCUCCAAGAAUGAGGAAUCGUUAGAAGUGAGUCUCAUCUUGAGUCAAAGAGGAAGAAUCUCUUGCUGUCAAAGACAACUGCCUAGGGUCUCAAGCAAGAGCUGGCAACAGUGUCCCCAGAUGCUGACAGGUUUCCAGGACUUACACCAGAAUAUUCACGAGGCCAACAGGCCUCAGACCCCAGCGGCAGAAGCGGACCUCUGCUGAGUCUGAGCCGAGUCUUGAACUUAAAGACGAUUUGCGCGGAUCCCUAACGCACUUGAGACCGCAGGAUAUCGCGGUUCCAAAGACUCAUGACUCCUUUCCUUCCCCAAACCCAAU
Molecule: long non-coding RNA, 454 nt
Filed under: Equus caballus (horse)
Lineage: Eukaryota; Metazoa; Chordata; Mammalia; Perissodactyla; Equidae
Description: lncRNA (ENSECAG00000046199.1)
Source: RNAcentral